This 560-nucleotide long non-coding RNA is filed under the name Equus asinus (donkey). RNAcentral describes it as "lncRNA (ENSEASG00005035104.1)". The record is from RNAcentral. Lineage: Eukaryota; Metazoa; Chordata; Mammalia; Perissodactyla; Equidae.
GGAGCAUGGGAACUUAACCACUCGGCCUUGGGGCCAGCCCCACAAAAUGUUUUAACACUGCAAACGUUAGAAGUUUCGACACUGGGCACCAGAAGAGGUUUAUACUCCACUACAGUGAUGCUGGUGUACUUCUACACCAGGCUUCUGAGUGAUGUCAAUCAACUGGAGUGAGAGAACCAACCAUUCGGGGAACUAAAGGGUCGCAAUCUCCAUGGCACUGGAGAAUAGAAACAUCUCUAUUAACGCCACUGAUAGGACCCUGGGGAACCCAUCUCCGUGGAAGCCCGCAGCUGAGUGCAGUGAUGCCUGCCGGUUUCUGCUGUGUGGUUCAUCCUCCGGUAAAUCUGUCACAAAGCCUGUCUCAAUGGAAGGAGUGCCAAACUCACAUUGUAAGAAGCGCUUGUGUGAUGGGAGACAUGUCGCAGCCAUUUGGAGAACGCGAUCUACCACAUAGGAGUGUGAAGAGAUCUAUCCAACUGUUUGUUCCCAACACUUUUUUUUACAUCACUAGUUCAUGUGAACUAUGCAGUGGGGUGCACUUGACAUAGACAGUUAAUGAC